This is a long non-coding RNA of Sapajus apella (tufted capuchin), 704 nucleotides long. RefSeq lists it as uncharacterized. The record is from RefSeq and is a predicted model, not a curated record. The transcript has 2 exons. Lineage: Eukaryota; Metazoa; Chordata; Mammalia; Primates; Cebidae.
GCUCAAGCAAUUCUCCCACGUCAGCCUUCCAGUUUGCUGGGAUUACAGGAAUGAGCCACCGUGGCCAGCUCAAGAAUCCAUUUUUUAUGCUCACUUAACUUGUUGGCAGAAGUGAUUUCCUUGUGCUGUAUAACUGAGGAUCCCACAUGCUUGCUGUCAUGUGGAGGUCACCCUCAGUUCCUAGAGGCUACCUGCAAUUCCCUGCCACAUGGGCUUGCUCAGCAUAACCCCUUACUUCCUCAAGUUAGCAAGAAGAAUCUCUUACUCCAGCCUAAGAUGGAGACCUAAAUCAAAUAACCUAAACAUGGGAUUGAUAGCCCAUCGUCUUUGCCAUAUUCUAUUAAUUAUAAAUAAGUCACGGGUCCCACCUGCACUCAAGAUAAAGAGGUUACACAGGUCAUAACAAUAAUAUGGCAGUGGGGUCACACCUUACGGUAUGUCUGCCACAGUCAUAUACUACAGGCUGCCUCAUGAAGAACACAUCUGAGACAAAAUCAGGAAAUUAUCAGACAUGUUAUUGAUCCAUUUCUCUUGGUACUUUUGGCUACAUUCUUGAACCAUUUAAGGUUGCCGGAUGACUUUAUAAUUGGACCUGCCAGGACUACCUUUAUUAAAUUGCCCUUUAUUGUUGUGCUAUUCACUUUUAUCAAAGUUCACAUGUAAUAGCAAUAACAAAUUACUAUUGUAAUUAUUGGUCAAAAAAG